CGGCGAGUGAAGCGGCAACAGCUCAAAUUUGAAAUCUGGCCUCGGCCCGAGUUGUAAUUUGCAGAGGAUGCCUCUGGCGCGGUGCCUUCCGAGUUCCCUGGAACGGGACGCCACAGAGGGUGAGAGCCCCGUAUGGUCGGACACCAAGCCUGUGUGAAGCUCCUUCGACGAGUCGAGUAGUUUGGGAAUGCUGCUCUAAAUGGGAGGUAAAUCUCUUCUAAAGCUAAAUACCGGCCAGAGACCGAUAGCGCACAAGUAGAGUGAUCGAAAGAUGAAAAGCACCUUGAAAAGGGGGUUAAAUAGUACGUGAAAUUGUUGAAAGGGAAGCACUUGUGACCAGACUUGGGCCGGGCGGCUCAUCAGGGGUUCUCCCCUGUGCACUCCGCCCGGCACAGGCCAGCAUCGGUUCUCGUGGGGGGAUAAGACCGUCAGGAACGUAGCACCCUCCGGGGUGUGUUAUAGCCUGGCGGACGAUACCCCCGUGGGGACCGAGGUUCGCGCUCCGCAAGGAUGCUGGCGUAAUGGUCACCAGUGACCCGUCUUGAAACAC
Molecule: ribosomal RNA, 550 nt
Filed under: Phomopsis sp. MAFF 665006
Lineage: Eukaryota; Fungi; Ascomycota; Sordariomycetes; Diaporthales; Diaporthaceae
Description: eukaryotic LSU rRNA
Rfam family: Eukaryotic large subunit ribosomal RNA
Source: RNAcentral